CAGGCUGCAACUCGCCUGCAUGAAGUCGGAAUUGCUAGUAACCGUAGGUCAGCAUACUACGGUGAAUACGUUCCCGGGCCUUGUACACACCGCCCGUCAAACCAUGAGAGUUGGCAACACCCGAAGUCGGUAGUCUAACCGCAAGGAGGACGCCGCCGAAGGUGGGGUUGAUGAUUAGGGUUAAGUCGUAACAAGGUAUC
RNAcentral lists this ribosomal RNA (200 nucleotides) under uncultured bacterium. Its description in RNAcentral is "partial 16S ribosomal RNA". It matches the Rfam family "Bacterial small subunit ribosomal RNA", at positions 1301 to 1500 of the family's 1533-position model. The record is from RNAcentral.